GCGAGUCUGCCUUGAAGAUCGGAGUGCUUGCACUCUGUGAAACAAGAUACAGGCUAGCGGCGGACGGGUGAGUAACACGUGGGUAACCUGCCCAAGAGAUCGGGAUAACACCUGGAAACAGAUGCUAAUACCGGAUAAUAACAGAUGAAGCCUAUCAACUGUUUAAAAGAUGGUUCUGCUAUCACUCUUGGAUGGACCUGCGGUGCAUUAGCUAGUUGGUAGGGUAACGGCCUACCAAGGCGAUGAUGCAUAGCCGAGUUGAGAGACUGAUCGGCCACAUUGGGACUGAGACACGGCCCAAACUCCUACGGGAGGCAGCAGUAGGGAAUCUUCCACAAUGGACGCAAGUCUGAUGGAGCAACGCCGCGUGAGUGAAGAAGGGUUUCGGCUCGUAAAGCUCUGUUGUUGGUGAAGAAGGACAGGGGUAGUAACUGACCUUUGUUUGACGGUAAUCAAUUAGAAAGUCACGGCUAACUGCGUGCCAGCAGCCGCGGUAAUACGUAGGUGGCAAGCGUUGUCCGGAUUUAUUGGGCGUAAAGCGAGUGCAGGCGGUUCGAUAAGUCUGAUGUGAAAGCCUUCGGCUCAACCGGAGAAUUGCAUCAGAAACUGUCGAGCUUGAGUACAGAAGAGGAGAGUGGAACUCCAUGUGUAGCGGUGAAAUGCGUAGAUAUAUGGAAGAACACCGGUGGCGAAGGCGGCUCUCUGGUCUGUUACUGA
RNAcentral lists this ribosomal RNA (717 nucleotides) under uncultured bacterium. Its description in RNAcentral is "bacterial SSU rRNA". It matches the Rfam family "Bacterial small subunit ribosomal RNA", at positions 57 to 743 of the family's 1533-position model. The record is from RNAcentral.